RNAcentral lists this transfer RNA (77 nucleotides) under Ulva compressa. Its description in RNAcentral is "tRNA-Phe". Lineage: Eukaryota; Viridiplantae; Chlorophyta; Ulvophyceae; Ulvales; Ulvaceae. The record is from RNAcentral.
AAUUUUUAUACAAAUUUUUGUAUAAAAAUUAAAAUAAAAUAUUAAUUAAAAAUUAGGUUAGAUUCCUAUAAAUCUUA